GAUGAACGCUGGCGGCGUGCCUAAUACAUGCAAGUAGAACGCUGAAGGAAGGAGCUUGCUCUUUCCGGAUGAGUUGCGAACGGGUGAGUAACGCGUAGGUAACCUGCCUGGUAGCGGGGGAUAACUAUUGGAAACGAUAGCUAAUACCGCAUAACAUUAGAUGUUGCAUGAUAUCUUCUUAAAAGGUGCAAUUGCACCACUACCACAUGGACUUGCGUUGUAUUAGCUAGUUGGUGAGGUAACGGCUCUCCAAGGCGAGGAUACAUAGCCGACCUGAGAGGGGGGUCGGCCACACUGGGACUGAGACACGGCCCAGACUCCUGCGGGAGGCAGCAGUAGGGAAUCGUCGGGAAUGGACGGAAGUCUGACCGAGCAAGGCCGCGUGAGUGAAGAAGGUUUUCGGGUCGGAAAGCUCGGUUGUAAGGGAAGAACGAGUGUGAGAGUGGAAAGUUCACGCUGUGACGGUAUCUUAUCAGAAAGGGACGGCUAACUACGUG
RNAcentral lists this ribosomal RNA (497 nucleotides) under uncultured bacterium. RNAcentral describes it as "partial 16S ribosomal RNA". It matches the Rfam family "Bacterial small subunit ribosomal RNA", at positions 28 to 507 of the family's 1533-position model. The record is from RNAcentral.